RNAcentral lists this unclassified non-coding RNA (347 nucleotides) under Hevea brasiliensis (rubber tree). Lineage: Eukaryota; Viridiplantae; Streptophyta; Magnoliopsida; Malpighiales; Euphorbiaceae. The record is from RNAcentral.
AGCAACUUCAUGUAGCCACCACCACAGUCGAGCUUUUGUUCAUGCUUAACAGAAAAUUGGAAUACUAGUGUCUUAUCUUUGUUACUGAACUCAGGGAACUCAGCUGAAAUUGCGUAGAACCUGUAAUCUUCACUAGUCUGGAUGCCUUUAUCAUUUGGGUCUCCAUUCCACUUGCCAGAAGUGUAGUUCCAUUCACCAGCUGUAUUCUCAUCUUUCUUCCACUCAGAUUUGACCCACCUCGUUUCCCAACCGUCAUCGAAACGUUCCUCGAAGAAGACUUUCGCAGAGGCGAUCACGAGGAGGGAAAGGAGAAUCAGCGAGAGUAGGGAGUUAGGGUUCGUCAUGGC